This 6325-nucleotide long non-coding RNA is filed under the name Ananas comosus (pineapple). RNAcentral describes it as "long non-coding RNA (ACOM_LNC001752)". Lineage: Eukaryota; Viridiplantae; Streptophyta; Magnoliopsida; Poales; Bromeliaceae. The record is from RNAcentral.
UGGGUUCAUCGGUUUUUGCCUCUAAGUACAUAUUAGUCGACUUGUAUGCUUUGUUCGUUGAACACUAAAUGAGGUAGCUCAAAUUCAUGGAUUAGUAUAUUAAAAACCUGAAUUGGGAGCAUGCUUAGUGAGUGAUGAUAAUUGAUACUUGUUGGACUUGGAUUUGACUUAGGAGAAAACCCCGAAUUGAUCGUCAUUUACAUACACUGCCGGAUUUAGCUCUAGGAGCCGUGUUGCAUUGUAUCGUCGUGGGCUUUGUGCGAUGGAUACCCAGGAUAGUGUAGCUUGUGUUUGUGCUCGUGCUGGGACGCCGAGCUUAUACUAGCUGAGUGUAGACUGUUACGGGGUGUCGGGCGCCGUCGGGGCAGGCGGUGGGCCCCAAAGUCGGUUUUGGUUACUUGGGUUUGGCUGGUUAGGGCCUGAUUGAGCUCGACAGAGCUACGCUGCAUACUCGGCUGGGUAGCUCCCCCGAGUGCCACUCCGGAGUUAGGCUUUGUGCUUUCGCGUCGGUGUCGGGUAGUGCAGGUUGGACUUGCUCUCCACUGAGGUUUAGAGUGGGGGUAGCUGUGCAGUCACAACCGGGCACGGGACGGGUGCGUUCACAGUCCCAGGGACGGGUGCGUUCACAGUCCCCUUCGGAUUGGGUCUGGUUGACUUGAGUCUAUAGGUGUUAGUUCUGGGCAUGAUAGCAUAGCGACUUGUAGCUGUAGAGAGUUUCCAGCUUCAUUUUCUUCUAUCUUGCUUACCCUGUAGACUUAGUGGGUGGACCGAUGUUGUUUAGGGCGGCACCCACUGAGGACUACUUGCUUUUAUAGUAGUUCUCACGCCCUCUUUCUUCCACCGAUGUUGCAGGGCCUUCUGUUUCGGCUGCUGCUCCUUCUGAGGCGGACCGCGGGAAAGGCGUGGCGAGUUAGAGCCUACCCUUCGAGUACAGUGCUAGAGGACUCCCGCUGCAGGUAGUGACAGUUUUUGUUCGGGCGCUUUUGUACAUACAGUUGAACUCGCUGGAGCGAGUAGUGUUCUUUUGUAUCCGUGGCUGAUGUAGGUAUAUAAAGUUUGUUAUUUCUACCUGCUUGUUUAUAGUUUACUUCAGCUCUAUACUACUGCUUGUAGUAUUGUAUGUUUAUACAGGUUCAGCUACGCUUCGUAUAUCGGAGAAAUUCUCUUGUAUACGGCGGAUUUGUCGGCGUGCCCGGGGGACUGUGCAGCCCGGGGCGUGACAACAGUAGAGUGUAGACUGUUUCAUACUGUCGGGUGCCGUCGCGGUUGACGGUGGAUCCAGAUUUCUAUAUCUUGCAUUAGAUUGUGCCAAGGGCAUGUGAAUUUUGUAGUUAGAUCAGUUUGACCUUGUUACUUUGACUAUAGUUUGUGAGAGCCUGAUUGAGCUUGACAGAGACACGCUUGCAUGCUCGGUUGGGUUGCGCCCACGAGUGCUGCUCCGGAGUCUUGUUACGUUGCUUUGCGUUGAUGUCGUAGUAGUUCGGUUUGGACAUUACUCUCUGCCGCCCGCCCACGAGGUGGUGUGCGGUGUAGUUGGACAGGCGGGACGGGUGUAUCACAGUCCCUAGUGAGAUUGGGUGAGUGAGAUGCAUAUUUAUAUUUACAGAUAGUUUGCAUUGGUUAGCAAUAGUAGAGUGGCAUGUAACUGUAGAUUUCUUAGCAGCUUUCCUUACUAUCCUUUGUGCAUAUUUCAGUAGAUUUAGUCGGUGAGCCGUUGAGGUCGGUGGCGAUACCCACUGAGGACUACUUGUUUUAUAGUAGUUUUCACACCAAGUUGUUUACACCUUUUUGUAGAGUCUUCGUCUGCGGCUGCUGCUGUUGCUAACUUGGACCGUGGGAAGGGAGUCGCGAGUUAGAUCCCUACUAGUCUUGUAGUUGUGUUACAGGAGGACCAUCCAGAGGUAGUUUUUGGGGCUUUCUGUGUACAUAAUGUUAUGUUGUUUUUGUACUCGCUGGAGUGAGUUGGGUUGUAGACUUUUAUAUGUACUGGACCCCUUUAUGUUAAUUAUAUAUUUCCUUCAGUUUAGCAGCUCUAUACUUCUGGUUGUGGCUAUGAUGUGAUUACAGGUAUAACUAUCUCUUCGUAUACACGGAGAACUCCUACGUAUACGGCAGGUCUGUUCGCGUGCCCGAGAAAACGUAUGAAUCUAGGGCAUGACAUUAAGAUAAAAUAUAAAAUUUAAAUUUUAAGUUUUAAAUUUUAAAUUUCAAAUUUUAAUAUUUUAAAUAUUAAAUUAUAAAUUGAAUUUAAAUAUUUUAAAUACUAAAUUUUGAAUAUUUUAAAAUUUAGUUUUAGUAAUUAAGAUAAAAUAUAAAAUUUUUAAAUUUUAAAUUUUAACUUUUAAAUUUCAAUUUCAUUGUAUUUUAAAACAUUAAAUUAUAAAUGAAUUAAAAAAAUUCAAUAUUUAAUUUCAAAUAUUGAAAUUUCAAUUUCAAAUGUUAAAAUUUAAAUUUUAAACUUCAACAAAUUUAUAUUUUAAAUUUAAAUUUAUAUUUUUAAAUAUUUAAUUUUAACAAUUUAGAUUUGAAAUGAACAAUUUUUAAACUUAAAUUUCAAAAUUUUACAUUUUAAAUUUUUAAGUUCAAGUGAAAAAAUUGCUAUACCGAGAGAGAAGUGAGAGUGAGAGAGAGAGUGAGGGGGGGGGGGGGUGCGCCGCUCGAGCCGCUUACCCAUGCCGCGCCAGCUCGCGCGCCCGCUGGUGGGGAAAGGAGAGAGAAAGAAAGAGAGAGGGGGGGCGCCCGCUCUAGCCUCCCACCUACGCCGCGCCCACCCUGCGCGCCCGCACCCGCCUCGCGCGCUCGUGAGUCUGCCUGUAGGGAGAGAGGGAGAGGGAGAGAGAGGGAAAAGAGAGGGGGGGAGAGGGAAGAGGAGAAAGGGGGAGAGAGAGAGUCUCGUCGCGACCAUCGCCGCUCACGCCCGCUCAAGCAGCUGGCCUGUACCGCGCCCGCCCACUCUGCCAUGUGCGCGCGGCCCGCUUGCGCCCCUCGCGCUCCCGUGCCCGCCCGUGCUGCCACUGCACAUGACCCGCGGCCGGCGCCCGCUUGCGCCCAUGCCCGCCCAUUUUGCCACAUGCGCGCGACCCGCGCUCCUCGUGCGCUCACGCUCGCCCGGAGGAGGCUUUGGUGGAACUCCACUGAAGGGAUCGAAGGGGCGCGAGAGGCAGAGACGGAGGCGCUGAGAAGCCAACACGUCGGUCACAGUAGAGCUCAUGAUUUAAUAUAUCUAUAGAUUAUAGAUAUCUAUAUCUAUAUAAGAUCCAGGGGCAGUGGGAGUUUUUUUAUUUUCCUUCUCUCUCUUCACAUGUAGAGAAGAGGAUUUAGAGUUUUUUUUAAUCCAAUUUAUUUUUUAUUACAAAAAAUUUAAAUGUAUAAUUAUUUAUAUCUAACUUUUAAAUAGUUUAGAUUGAAUGUAUUAAAUAUAAAUUUUAAUUUUAUAAUAUUAUUCAUUUAGAUAUAAAUUGUACAAUAAAAAAUAAAAAAAUUGAUGGAGUUUAAGUUAAUUUUUUAUUUUACUAAAUUUAGUUACGAAAAUCGCAUAAAAUACACUAAUUAAAUCUAUAAAGCUAAGCGACGCAUUCAAAUUUUGAAGUCAAAGUAUUAUUGAUUGACUCAAAUCUAAUAUACAGAAAAGCUGGAUAAUAAAAAUAAAAUUUUGCAAACUUGGAUAGCUAAUUUAAAAUGGUUCAUAAUUCAAAAAAAAUUAUAAAUUUUUACUUUGAUUUAAAUGUCAAACUUCAAUGCAAUAUUUAUAAUCUCAUGAGCGAUUAAUUUUACAUUUAAAAUCUUUUGAAAUAUCUAAAAUAUGAUUAAUUGAGUUUUAAUUUUAACAAUUAGGCUUUCUAAAAUUCAUGUAAUUUCCUUAUAUAAAAUUACUAAUUAAAAAAAGGACCAAUUGCUUAUAUACCUCUGAAAAAUUUUCGACUUUUUGAUUUACCCCACUUAGAAGGCUAAUAUUGAAAGUAUCUUUUUUACGUUCCAACCUAUUUCAAAUAUACCUCUAGAGUUAAAUUCUAUAAAUGAACUGUUAGCAAUAGCUGUUAUCUGUAUGAAAUUACUAUUUUACCCUUUCAAAUAUAUACUUCCACUAUCACCGACUUUUCUUAUUUGCCCUUAAAUUAGGGUUACAAAAAAAAUUUUAAUUUUAGUCUUUUCAAAUAUACCUGUAGUGUUCCUGAGCUUUGGAUAGGAUUGGCUUCAGUAUUAUAGACUGGUCGACAUCUCUGGAGAGUGUCGGACUGAGUCGGAGUCAAUUCUGCACGAAUUGGAUACAGAAUUGGACUCGGCGCACUCAAAUAAGCAAAACUGAAGUUUUGCCAGAUUCGGGCGCCCAGAACAUUGUUAGGGUCGCCCAGAAACGAGUGUUGAAUUUAACUGAAACUGGAAGCCAAUUCGGAUCCCAUGUUCCGGGCGCCCAGAAGUAGGUCCGGAAAUUUCACCUCGUGAAUAUCGCUUGCUUCGACGCGUGGCAGGGCGGUAGGUGAGUUCCGCCGGUGCCGUUUACGAGCGCAGCACACUGUGGGCGGAGAGUCCGAAGGGCCCGGUUUGUGCUGUCGGGAUGUUCUGGUCGCCCAGAACAUGGUUUUGGGCGCCCGGAAAUGCCCGUUUCUGCAGGGACAGCAGAUUGCAAGCUUUGUUCUUGAGGUUCAUUUGAUCCUAUUUUUCACCCUAUAAAUAGCUGAGCAGUGUCCCUGGUGAGCUCUUUUCCUCCUUUCUUCACAGAGAAACCCCUUUUGGCAUCUCAAACCUCGGAUUUGCUUCAAAUUGCAUCAAAUUUCCAUUGAUCCAGCUUGAUGGUGUGCUGAUUGUGCAGUUCUUCAGCGUCGACCUCCAGUGUUUUGGCUCGUGCGUGACGUAGGAAGGUCGGAUUUCGACGAAACUUGGUUUGCUGGAUUCUAGACUUCUAGAGGAAUCCACGAAGCCAUGAUUCGCAGAAUUUGGUGAAGGUUAACUCAGUCGAACUCAGGUUUUCCUCUGCUGCUGUUGCUGUGGACAGAAUUGUAAGUUUUUGAGUUCUUUUUGGGGUGAACUUUGGAAGCAGGGGCUUUGUGGAGUUGAGUCACGUUCCCCAUCACCCAGUACUGGAAUUGGGACCCUCUUCACCUGAUUUGGAGUUCAUUAGGUGAGUUUUGACAUUAGAAUUGGGAUAUUUUAGCUUAAGUGCUGUUUUGCUGAACUUCAUCGUCGACUGUUAGUAUUUCAGCUCGUACUCGACGUAGGAGCAACGGAUUUCGACGAGACUUGAUUCGUUGGUUUCGGGACUGCGAGAGGAAUCCACGAAGUCCUUACUUGUGGAUUUUGGUGAAGGUUAGCUUGGUCGAAACCCUUCUCUUCUCUGCUGCUGUGUAUUUGGACUGAAUUGUGGAUUUUGAUGUUGAUAGCUUGGAGAUAGCUUGAUUUUGAGACUCGGACAUUUUCAGUCGAUCCAGCAGGUUGUGCCGCAGCCGAGGGAGUUCCGUGCUGCCAGGAAUUGCACUAGAGGUGGGUGUAUCAUCGGUUUCGCUCCUAAGUGCAUGUUUAGUCGACGUGUAUAGUUCGAUUUUUGUAUAUCAUGCUUUAAUUCAUCGAUUAGCAUCUUGAAUGUAAUAUGAAUGUAGAAGCAUGCUGAAAUGAAUAUUUAAAUUAUACAUGUUGGACUUGAAAUUUGACUUAGGAGAAAACCUGCGUUUUGACCCGUCAUAUGCUUAAACUACCAGAUUUAGCUCUAGGAGCCGUGAUUCGAUUGUAUCGUUGCAGUAUCAGUGCGAUGGAUAUCUGGGGUAGUUUAGAAGGCAUUUACGCUCGUGCUGGGGUGCCGAGCUUAUUUUUCAGCAGAGUUUAGGCUGUUUCGGGUCGUUGGGUGCCGUUCGGGUUAGCGGUGGACCCAGAUUCUUGUUUUGGUCACAGAUUGUGCCGAGGGCACGUGGGUUUGGUUUGUAGACCUGUUUUGACCCUGUUCACUUGACUUUGGCUAGUUGGAGCCUGUUUGAGCUCGACAGAGAUACGCUGCAUACUCGGUUGGGUAGCGCCCACGAGUGCCACUCCGGAGUCAGGCUUUGUGCUUUCGCGUUGGUGUCGCUCAUGCCAGUUGGACUUGCUCUCCACGGACCAGUUAGUGUGGAUAGAGCCCGAUAGUCGCAACGGGGCAGGGACGGGUGUAUUCACAGUCCCGGGGACGGGUAUGCUUACAGUCCCGAUUGGAUUGGGUCAGAUUGGACAUUUCCUACAGUUGGUUAGUGUAGAGCAUGAUAGUGUAGUGAUCGAUAGCGGUAGAGUUUAUUUCCUGCUUUUCUGACUACUCUUGCUCCCUUCUGUAGACUUAGUGGGUGGACCGAUGUUGUUUUGGGCG